This 72-nucleotide transfer RNA is filed under the name Camelus dromedarius (Arabian camel). It matches the Rfam family "tRNA". Rfam says of the family: Transfer RNA (tRNA) molecules are approximately 80 nucleotides in length. Their secondary structure includes four short double-helical elements and three loops (D, anti-codon, and T loops). Further hydrogen bonds mediate the characteristic L-shaped molecular structure. tRNAs have two regions of fundamental functional importance: the anti-codon, which is responsible for specific mRNA codon recognition, and the 3' end, to which the tRNAs corresponding amino acid is attached (by aminoacyl-tRNA synthetases). tRNAs cope with the degeneracy of the genetic code in two manners: having more than one tRNA (with a specific anti-codon) for a particular amino acid; and 'wobble' base-pairing, i.e. permitting non-standard base-pairing at the 3rd anti-codon position. The record is from Rfam by way of RNAcentral. Lineage: Eukaryota; Metazoa; Chordata; Mammalia; Artiodactyla; Camelidae. RNAcentral also lists the same sequence under 2 other names.
GAGGGUAUAGCUCACUGGGAGAGCGCGUGCUUAGUGUGUAUGAGGUCCUGGGUUCAAUCCCCAGUCCCUCCA